This 617-nucleotide ribosomal RNA is filed under the name Streptomyces fradiae. Its description in RNAcentral is "bacterial SSU rRNA". It matches the Rfam family "Bacterial small subunit ribosomal RNA", at positions 261 to 886 of the family's 1533-position model. Lineage: Bacteria; Bacillati; Actinomycetota; Actinomycetes; Kitasatosporales; Streptomycetaceae. The record is from RNAcentral.
CAGCCCCUCAAGGCCCACAAGGUGUAGCCGGCCUGAGAGGGCGACCGGCCACACUGGGACUGAGACACGGCCCAGACUCCUACGGGAGGCAGCAGUGGGGAAUAUUGCACAAUGGGCGAAAGCCUGAUGCAGCGACGCCGCGUGAGGGAUGACGGCCUUCGGGUUGUAAACCUCUUUCAGCAGGGAAGAAGCGAAAGUGACGGUACCUGCAGAAGAAGCGCCGGCUAACUACGUGCCAGCAGCCGCGGUAAUACGUAGGGCGCAAGCGUUGUCCGGAAUUAUUGGGCGUAAAGAGCUCGUAGGCGGCCUGUCACGUCGGAUGUGAAAGCCCGGGGCUUAACCCCGGGUCUGCAUUCGAUACGGGCAGGCUAGAGUUCGGUAGGGGAGAUCGGAAUUCCUGGUGUAGCGGUGAAAUGCGCAGAUAUCAGGAGGAACACCGGUGGCGAAGGCGGAUCUCUGGGCCGAUACUGACGCUGAGGAGCGAAAGCGUGGGGAGCGAACAGGAUUAGAUACCCUGGUAGUCCACGCCGUAAACGUUGGGAACUAGGUGUGGGCGACAUUCCACGUCGUCCGUGCCGCAGCUAACGCAUUAAGUUCCCCGCCUGGGGGAGUACGGA